This is a long non-coding RNA of Seriola aureovittata, 1449 nucleotides long. RefSeq lists it as uncharacterized. The transcript has 2 exons. The record is from RefSeq and is a predicted model, not a curated record. Lineage: Eukaryota; Metazoa; Chordata; Actinopteri; Carangiformes; Carangidae.
UCUUACCUGUACAUGCUUGCGCGAGUUGGAAGAAGAGUUUUUGUAGGUUGAUAGCUGCCUCUCUUUCGGCAUACAAAGCUUACUUCGCAUAAUGACAUUGUUGUCAUUCGCGGACUUGAACUCAAAGAAGUCCUUUAAGUAUGGCCAGGGAUUGGCCUCACGUUCUCCUUGCGUGUCUCUGAGUUCCAAAUUCGACCCCCCUCCGUCGUUACAAUCGUGCUUGUCGUCUCUAUCCCCAGACUCGUUUCCAUCAUCGGUCUCCACCAUCUUUAUGCUUCUGUGCCACCAACGUCUGUUAACCUGGCGCCGCAGUUGUCCAGAGCCAAUCAGAUGGACAGUUUCUGGCUGGCACUCAGACGCAGUGCAAGUUCAUCUUUUUUUUUUUUUUUUACUUUGUAACGGAAGCUAUUUCAAACGUAACGAAUUACAAUUACUUCAAACAAUAUGUACUUAAGUAAAAGUAAAAUUACUGAUUUUUAAAAUUACUCAAAAAAGUACAAUUACACAAAAAAACUACUUGGUUACAGUAACGAGAGUAAAUGUAACUAGUUACUUUCCACCCCUGUCUGUUCUGGAGGCUGAUGGAGUGAACUAGUAGACCCCGAAGGAGGCUGUCUCCACAGGCUUCCCAUGAAUCGUGCUAGUGACUGCUGCAGCCAGUUCCCUCUGUUUGUUGGAGAAUAGUCUUUCUUACGUUCAGUUCCAGGCAUUAUCGCACCACUCCACAAACACACAAGGAGCUGAGCAGUAGUGCUGUGAGGAAUGUGAAAGCAGGAACAGAAGAACUGUGUCAUCAGCGUACUUGACCAGAAGAGAAGAAGGGAAGUCUGCAAACAGGAGUCUGCUUCUAAUGUUGGGGAGUUCCAGAUGCUUAUGCAUGGUGUUGCGUCAUUAUCACAAACUGGAGAGGGUCCAUCUGUGAGUUUGUUGCCAUCAUAAUGUGGUUUUUGAUGAUCCCCUCCAUUGCUCUCAUUACAGAGGAGGUGAGAGCCACAGGCCAUAGAGACUGAGGUCACUCAAGACCUUGAUGGUGCCCUUUUUAGGAAUGUGGAGUGUUUCCACAGCUGGGGGACUGUGCCGUUGGCCAAGGAGCUCUGGAACAGCAUCUGAAACUUGCAUUUUGGGUCCAUAACUCUGCUCUCUACAAUAAACUUCUUUACUUCUUCUUUACUUGGGACUGAUGCCAGAUCACUUCAAAAGUAAGGUUUCAAGACUAAAAGCUCUUUAAUUUGCCAUGCCAUGGUUUCACAUAUAACCAAUGCGUGCAACUAUGAAGGUAUUUUUGGUCCAAAACAACUUGUGAGACCUUUGACUGUGGAAUUAGUGACUAUUUUAUACAAUUUCUAAUUCCACUGUCACAAACACUCAGUUGUUUUGUAUAAAAUUGUAUCUUGUUGUACUGAAGCUUCUCUUCAUAAAAAUCAAUAAAAUCACAAAUAAGACUUUGAA